GCAAGUCGAACGCGAAAGUUUUCUUCGGAAAGCGAGUAGAGUGGCGCACGGGUGAGUAACGCGUAAAUAAUCUACCCCUGCAUCUGGGAUAACCCACCGAAAGGUGAGCUAAUACCGGAUACGUUCUUUAGAUUGCGAGAUUUAGAGAAGAAAGGUGGCCUCUAUUUAUAAGCUACUGUGCUGGGAGGAGCUUGCGUACCAUUAGCUAGUUGGUAGGGUAAUGGCCUACCAAGGCGACGAUGGUUAGCGGGUCUGAGAGGAUGAUC
RNAcentral lists this ribosomal RNA (266 nucleotides) under uncultured bacterium. RNAcentral describes it as "partial 16S ribosomal RNA". It matches the Rfam family "Bacterial small subunit ribosomal RNA", at positions 57 to 305 of the family's 1533-position model. The record is from RNAcentral.